RNAcentral lists this ribosomal RNA (253 nucleotides) under uncultured bacterium. RNAcentral describes it as "partial 16S ribosomal RNA". It matches the Rfam family "Bacterial small subunit ribosomal RNA", at positions 524 to 776 of the family's 1533-position model. The record is from RNAcentral.
UACGUAGGGUGCAAGCGUUGUCCGGAAUUAUUGGGCGUAAAGAGCUCGUAGGCGGCUUGUCACGUCGACUGUGAAAACCCGGGGCUCAACUCCGGGCCUGCAGUCGAUACGGGCUGGCUUGAGUGCGGUAGGGGAGACUGGAAUUCCUGGUGUAGCGGUGAAAUGCGCAGAUAUCAGGAGGAACACCGGUGGCGAAGGCGGGUCUCUGAGCCGUAACUGACGCUGAGGAGCGAAAGCGUGGGGAGCGAACAGG